UGAGUACGAGACGCUAAGGCGUUGAAGUGGUGUAUAUCAGACUUCCGAGAAAAGCUUGCACUGUCAUAAAUAGAAAAUGCCUGUACCAUAACCGACACAGGUGGGUAGGUAGAGUAUACUAAGGGGCGCGAGAUAACUCUCUCUAAGGAACUCGGCAAAAUAACUCCGUAACUUCGGGAGAAGGAGUGCCUUAUUCGUAAGGCUGCAAUAACAAGAUCCAAGCAACUGUUUAUCAAAAACACAGGUCUCCGCUAAGUCGUAAGACGAUGUAUGGGGGCUGACGCCUGCCCAGUGCCAGAAGGUUAAAGAAGUUGGUUAGCAUUAGCGAAGCUGAUAACUGAAGCCCUGGUGAACGGCGGCCGUAACAAUAACGGUCCUAAGGUAGCGAAAUUCCUUGUCGGGUAAGUUCCGACCCGCACGAAAGGCGUAAUGAUUUGGAUACUGUCUCGGAGAGGGGCUCGGUGAAAUAGACUUGUCUGUGAAGAUGCGGACUACCUGCACCAGGACAGAAAGACCCUAUGAAGCUUUACUGUAACCUGAAAUUGAAAUUGGACUUUAGUCGCGCAGUAUAGGUGGGAGGCUUUGAUGAUACACUUGCGGGAGUAUCGGAGCUAUCAGUGAGAUACCACUCUUCUAAUGUUAGAUUUCUAACUUUGAAUCAUUAUCUGGUCAAAGAACAGUUUCAGGCGGGCAGUUUGACUGGGGCGGUCGCCUCCCAAAUGGUAACGGAGGCGUACAAAGGUUUCCUCUGAACGGUUAGAAAUCGUAUCUAGAGUGUAAAGGCAUAAGGAAGCUUGACUGUGAGACCUACAAGUCGAACAGGGACGAAAGUCGGUCUUAGUGAUCUGACGGUACUGAGUGGAAAGGCCGUCACUCAACGGAUAAAAGUUACUCUAAGGAUAACAGGCUGAUCUCCCCCAAGAGUUCACAUCGACGGGGAGGUUUGGCACCUCGAUGUCGGCUCAUCGCAUCCUGGGGCGGUAGUACGUCCCAAGGGUUGGGCUGUUCGCCCAUGAAAGCGGUACGCGAGCUGGGUUCAGAACGUCGUGAGACAGUUCGGUCCAUAUCCGGUGUGCGUUAGAAUAUUGAGAGGAGCCUUCUUUAGUACGAGAGGACCGAGAAGGACAUACCUAUGGUGUACCAGUUAUCGUGCCAACGGUAAACGCUGGGUAGCUAAGUAUGGAGUGGAUAACCGCUGAAAGCAUCUAAGUGGGAAGCCCACCUCAAGAUGAGUAUUCUC
Molecule: ribosomal RNA, 1240 nt
Filed under: metagenome
Description: bacterial LSU rRNA
Rfam family: Bacterial large subunit ribosomal RNA
Source: RNAcentral